This 468-nucleotide ribosomal RNA is filed under the name uncultured bacterium. RNAcentral's name for it is "partial 16S ribosomal RNA". It matches the Rfam family "Bacterial small subunit ribosomal RNA", at positions 28 to 507 of the family's 1533-position model. The record is from RNAcentral.
GACGAACGCUGGCGGCGUGCUUAACACAUGCAAGUCGAACGGAAAGGCCCUGCUUUUGUGGGGUGCUCGAGUGGCGAACGGGUGUGUAACACGUGAGUAACCCGCUCUUGACUUUGGUAUAACUUCAGGAAACUGGGGCUAAUACCGGAUAGGAGCUCCUGCUGCUUGUUGUGGGUUGGAAAGUUUCGGCGGUUGGGGAUGGGCUCGCGGCUUAUCAGCUUGUUGGUGGGGUAGUGGCUUACCAAGGCUUUGACGGGUAGCCGGCCUGAGAGGGUGAACGGCCACAUUGGGACUGAGAUACGGCCCAGACUCCUACGGGAGGCAGCAGUGGGGAAUAUUGCACAAUGGGCGGAAGCCUGAUGCAGCAACGCCGCGUGCGGGAUGACGGCCUUCGGGUUGUAAACCGCUUUCGCCUGUGACGAAGCGUGAGUGACGGUAAUGGGUAAAGAAGCACCGGCUAACUACGUG